This 450-nucleotide ribosomal RNA is filed under the name uncultured bacterium. RNAcentral describes it as "partial 16S ribosomal RNA". It matches the Rfam family "Bacterial small subunit ribosomal RNA", at positions 354 to 796 of the family's 1533-position model. The record is from RNAcentral.
GUGGGGAAUUUUGGACAAUGGGCGCAAGCCUGAUCCAGCAAUGCCGCGUGCAGGAAGAAGGCCUUCGGGUUGUAAACUGCUUUUGUACGGAACGAAACGGUCCGGGUUAAUACCCUGGGCUAAUGACGGUACCGUAAGAAUAAGCACCGGCUAACUACGUGCCAGCAGCCGCGGUAAUACGUAGGGUGCAAGCGUUAAUCGGAAUUACUGGGCGUAAAGCGUGCGCAGGCGGUGCUGUAAGACAGGCGUGAAAUCCCCGGGCUUAACCUGGGAAUUGCGCUUGUGACUGCAAGGCUGGAGUGCGGCAGAGGGGGAUGGAAUUCCGCGUGUAGCAGUGAAAUGCGUAGAUAUGCGGAGGAACACCGAUGGCGAAGGCAAUCCCCUGGGCCUGCACUGACGCUCAUGCACGAAAGCGUGGGGAGCAAACAGGAUUAGAAACCCGUGUAGUCC